GAUGAACGCUAGCUACAGGCUUAACACAUGCAAGUCGAGGGGAAACGAUGAGAGAGCUUGCUCUCUUAGGCGUCGACCGGCGCACGGGUGAGUAACGCGUAUCCAACCUACCCAUUACAGGGGGAUAACCUUGCGAAAGUAAGACUAAUACCCCAUGGCAUUUUAUGGUGGCAUCAUUAUAGGAUUAAAGAUUUAUUGGUAAUGGAUGGGGAUGCGUCUGAUUAGCUUGUUGGCGGGGUAACGGCCCACCAAGGCAACGAUCAGUAGGGGUUCUGAGAGGAAGGUCCCCCACAUUGGAACUGAGACACGGUCCAAACUCCUACGGGAGGCAGCAGUGAGGAAUAUUGGUCAAUGGGCGAGAGCUUGAACCAGCCAAGUAGCGUGCAGGAUGACGGCCCUAGGGGUUGUAAACUGCUUUUAUAGGGGAAUAAAGUGAGCUACGUGUAGUUUAUUGCAUGUACCCUAUGAAUAAGGACCGGCUAAUUCCGUG
RNAcentral lists this ribosomal RNA (490 nucleotides) under uncultured bacterium. Its description in RNAcentral is "partial 16S ribosomal RNA". It matches the Rfam family "Bacterial small subunit ribosomal RNA", at positions 28 to 507 of the family's 1533-position model. The record is from RNAcentral.